Molecule: non-coding RNA, 685 nt
Organism: Paramuricea clavata
Lineage: Eukaryota; Metazoa; Cnidaria; Anthozoa; Malacalcyonacea; Plexauridae
Source: the annotation of a GenBank genome assembly
CUGGAAAGUAGGCCAUGUCUUGAAAUAUUGCAUAUUUAUAAUGCGUGUGCUGUUUUGUGUUUUUUUUGUAUGUCAAUCCAUCAAUGGAGAAGUCCCCUCCCUACACGCUACAGACAAUAGUACUUUUACUUUUACUUUGUACUUGAAGUAUUUUUUAAGGAUAAUUUGCACUUUUUACUUGAGUACGUUUUGCCUCCAGUACUUUUUACUCUUACUCAAGUCGUUUUAUUGUCAAUUACUUCUACUUUUACUCGAGUACAGAUUCAAAGUAAUUUAGGUACCACUACGGCUAAAAAUAUUGAAUUAUCGCACCCUGUAUUUGUUAACACAUCAACACAUAUAAUUUGGCAUACAACCUUUAAUUUGUGUAACAAUGUAGAUACUACUAAGCUUCGUCUAAUACUACAGCUGUAGCAGACGUCGUUCAAAUGUCAUAUAAUACUACAAAGCUAGGACUAACACUACGGUUGAAUGCAGAGACGCCGGAACGAUAAUAGGGCAAAGGGGGGCGGACGCACACCAAGGGCACCUCUACUGAAAAUUUUUUUUUCACUGCAAAAUUUUUUGGCGAUUUUCGCCAUUUCUUCAAAAUAUUUUUCUAAAUUUCAAAAAUUUUUAUAAAUAUAAACUAUAAAUUACCUGAAUCUCGUGAUUUUCCUACAAAAAGCAUCGUUGGAAAUGUGAU